AAGUCGUAACAAGGUCUCCGUAGGUGAACCUGCGGAGGGAUCAUUCACAUGAUUACCUUUUUCAACAAACUGUGAACUUUUUAAUUUACUAUUCGUGUGCAUAUUUAUUGUUCAUUCAAUUCAAUAUGUCACACUGUCAUUCGAUGAACAUUAGAUAGCUGGCUUGAUUUUCGAAUCUUUCUCAGCUGAUUGUUUUGUGUUUUAAUUACCACAUCCAAUCAACCAACAAACAUAGAAACAACUCUAUGCCCUGGAUAUCUUGGUUCUC
RNAcentral lists this unclassified non-coding RNA (268 nucleotides) under fungal sp. Its description in RNAcentral is "partial internal transcribed spacer region". The stretch from base 1 to 46 matches the Rfam family "Eukaryotic small subunit ribosomal RNA", at positions 1786 to 1831 of the family's 1831-position model. Lineage: Eukaryota; Fungi. The record is from RNAcentral.